RNAcentral lists this ribosomal RNA (278 nucleotides) under uncultured Staphylococcus sp. RNAcentral's name for it is "partial 16S ribosomal RNA". It matches the Rfam family "Bacterial small subunit ribosomal RNA", at positions 83 to 355 of the family's 1533-position model. The record is from RNAcentral. Lineage: Bacteria; Bacillati; Bacillota; Bacilli; Caryophanales; Staphylococcaceae.
CCUUUGACGUUAGCGGCGGACGGGUGAGUAACACGUGGGUAACCUACCUAUAAGACUGGGAUAACUUCGGGAAACCGGAGCUAAUACCGGAUAAUAUUUCGAACCGCAUGGUUCGAUAGUGAAAGGUGGUUUUGCUAUCACUUAUAGAUGGACCCGCGCCGUAUUAGCUAGUUGGUAAGGUAACGGCUUACCAAGGCGACGAUACGUAGCGACCUGAGAGGGUGAUCGGCCACACUGGAACUGAGACACGGUCCAGACUCCUACGGGAGGCAGCAGCA